This 207-nucleotide long non-coding RNA is filed under the name Elaeis guineensis (African oil palm). RNAcentral describes it as "long non-coding RNA (EGUI_LNC017317)". Lineage: Eukaryota; Viridiplantae; Streptophyta; Magnoliopsida; Arecales; Arecaceae. The record is from RNAcentral.
AGAGGCUGCUUGAAUUUUUUCAGUCUAACAUACAUAGAGUAUUUAUGACUAAAAUUUAUUCUAUCAUGUGUACUAUGUAUGAAAUCGGAUAUAGUAUACUCACUAGGAUAGUGAGUGGAUAUCUGCAAGAUCCGGAUGAGAAUCACUGAAAAGUCAUCCUUAGGUAUUUGAGAAAUACUAAAGAUUGGUGACUCGAUUAUGGAGAAU